RNAcentral lists this ribosomal RNA (497 nucleotides) under uncultured bacterium. RNAcentral's name for it is "partial 16S ribosomal RNA". It matches the Rfam family "Bacterial small subunit ribosomal RNA", at positions 28 to 507 of the family's 1533-position model. The record is from RNAcentral.
GAUGAACGCUGGCGGCGUGCCUAAUACAUGCAAGUCGAGCGAACGGACGAGAAGCUUGCUUCUCUGAUGUUAGCGGCGGACGGGUGAGUAACACGUGGAUAACCUAUCUUUAAGACUGGGAUAACUUCGGGAAACCGGAGCUAAUAUCGGAUAAUAAUUUGAACCGCAUGGUUCAAAAGUAAAAGACGUUUUUUCUGUCACUUAUUGAUGGAUCCGCGCUGCAUUAGCUAGUUAGUAAGGUAACGGCUUACCAAGGCAACGAUGCAUAGCCGACCUGAGAGGGUGAUCGGCCACACUGGAACUGAGACACGGUCCAGACUCCUACGGGAGGCAGCAGUAGGGAAUCUUCCACAAUGGGCGAAAGCCUGACGGAGCAACGCCGCGUGAGUGAUGAAGGUCUUCGGAUCGUAAAACUCUGUUAUUAGGGAAGAACAUAUGUGUAAGUAACUGUGCACAUCUUGACGGUACCUAAUCAGAAAGCCACGGCUAACUACGUG